GUGAAUGUGAACUGUUUCUGAUCCUCUUUUCUAAUUGGAAUGGAAAAGACCACAGGCAAUGAAUUACUGCUGGCCACAUACCUAAGGCCUCGUGAACCUGCUCCGGCAAGGACUCCACAUCAGGCACAGCAGCUGCCAGCAGGGCUCCCCCUUGGUUAAGCCGUGGCGGUCUACGGUCUUCCUCCAGGAUCCGUCCAAUUUCUGCAGAGGUCAGACUGAGGGGACCUGCCGGAGUCAAUGGCUGGAAGCAGCCUGAGGGCCUCAGUGCAAACAGCGAUGGCCAUGAUCCAGGCACAGCAGCAGGGACCAGUCUGAAAUCUGAGAGGCGCGUUUGCACGGCCACCACCAAAGGUCUGGGGGCUUAUCUCUUUUGGAGUUCUGGACCCAAAGGAACAAAGAUGUCAGCAUUUUCUACCUCAGGCCAGGCUGGGCGCUGUUCUGCUCCCGAGGAGUCUCUGGGUAAGAUGCAGCACAGACCCAGAGAGCUCGCAACCAAAAGAAGAGACAGACUAUGGUGCACAGAAUAACGUCCCCCACCCCAGCCUCCUGAAGAUGUCCACGUCCUGAUGCCCAGAAUCUGUGAACAUGCCGCCUGACGUGCAAAGGAGAAUUAAGGCUGCUAAUCAGCUGACCUCAAGAGGUUACCCUGGAUGGCCCAGCGCCAUCACAAGGGUUCUUAGAAGUGGA
Molecule: long non-coding RNA, 687 nt
Filed under: Equus asinus (donkey)
Lineage: Eukaryota; Metazoa; Chordata; Mammalia; Perissodactyla; Equidae
Description: lncRNA (ENSEASG00005034561.1)
Source: RNAcentral